Molecule: ribosomal RNA, 253 nt
Filed under: uncultured bacterium
Lineage: Bacteria
Description: partial 16S ribosomal RNA
Rfam family: Bacterial small subunit ribosomal RNA
Source: RNAcentral
GACGUAGGGCGCAAGCGUUGUCCGGAUUUAUUGGGCGUAAAGAGCUCGUAGGCGGCUUGUUGCGUCGACUGUGAAAAACCACGUCUCAACCGUGGGACUGCAGUCGAUACGGGCAGGCUAGAGUUCGGUAGGGGAGACUGGAAUUCCUGGUGUAGCGGUGAAAUGCGCAGAUAUCAGGAGGAACACCGGUGGCGAAGGCGGUUCUCUGGGCCUGAUCUGACGCUGAGGAGCGAAAGCGUGGGGAGCGAACAGG